GCCCCCGUAGCUCAGUAGGAUAGAGCGCCGGAUUCCUAAUCCGUAGGCCACAGGUUCGAGCCCUGUCGGGGGCA
Molecule: transfer RNA, 74 nt
Filed under: bacterium
Lineage: Bacteria
Description: tRNA-Arg
Rfam family: tRNA
About the family: Transfer RNA (tRNA) molecules are approximately 80 nucleotides in length. Their secondary structure includes four short double-helical elements and three loops (D, anti-codon, and T loops).
Source: RNAcentral